UUAUGAAGCUAAUUGCAGCGUUAACCUUUUAAGUUAAAGACUGGGGCCUAAUCCCCCGUAAUGA
Molecule: transfer RNA, 64 nt
Filed under: Cavia aperea (Brazilian guinea pig)
Lineage: Eukaryota; Metazoa; Chordata; Mammalia; Rodentia; Caviidae
Description: tRNA-Lys
Source: RNAcentral